UCCGGUUUGUCACCGGCAGUCUCAUUAGAGUGCCCAGCUGAAUGUAGCAACUAAUGACAAGGGUUGCGCUCGUUGCGGGACUUAACCCAACAUCUCACGACACGAGCUGACGACAGCCAUGCAGCACCUGUGUUCCCGCCAGCCGAACUGAAGAGAUCCAUCUCUGGUUCUCAUACGGGACAUGUCAAGGGCUGGUAAGGUUCUUCGCGUUGCUUCGAAUUGAACCACAUGCUCCACCGCUUGUGUGGAUCCCCGUCAAUUUCUCAUACAGGACUGCCUCCGUAAGGAGGAGGAAGGUGGGGAUGACGUUACGGUCUUAC
RNAcentral lists this unclassified non-coding RNA (320 nucleotides) under uncultured bacterium. RNAcentral's name for it is "contains 16S-23S intergenic spacer region". The record is from RNAcentral.